RNAcentral lists this ribosomal RNA (516 nucleotides) under Enterobacter cloacae. Its description in RNAcentral is "bacterial SSU rRNA". It matches the Rfam family "Bacterial small subunit ribosomal RNA", at positions 939 to 1456 of the family's 1533-position model. The record is from RNAcentral. Lineage: Bacteria; Pseudomonadati; Pseudomonadota; Gammaproteobacteria; Enterobacterales; Enterobacteriaceae.
UUGUUGUUUAUUUAUGAAGCACCGAGAAGACCUUCCCCGGUUCUGGACAUCCACAGAACCUCGCAGAGAUGGAUUGGUGCUUUGGGGAACUGUGAGACAGGUGCUGCAUGGUUGUUGUCCCCUUGUGUUGUGAAAUGUUGGGUUAAGUCCCGCAACGAGCGCAACCCUUAUCUUUUGUUGCCAGCGGUUAGGCCGGGAACUCAAAGGAGACUGCCAGUGAUAAACUGGAGGAAGGUGGGGAUGACGUCAAGUCAUCAUGGCCCUUACGACCAGGGCUACACACGUGCUACAAUGGCGCAUACAAAGAGAAGCGACCUCGCGAGAGCAAGCGGACCUCAUAAAGUGGGUCGUAGUCCGGAUUGGAGUCUGCAACUCGACUCCAUGAAGUCGGAAUCGCUAGUAAUCGUAGAUCAGAAUGCUACGGUGAAUACGUUCCCGGGCCUUGUACACACCGCCCGUCACACCAUGGGAGUGGGUUGCAAAAGAAGUAGUUAGCUUAACCUUCGGAGGGCGCUA